AUUGGAUUACUUAGUGGCGGACGGGGUGAGGUAACGCCGUGGGUAACCUGGCCCUUCCGGAGGGGGACGAACGAAGCUGGAAACGGCUGCUAAUACCGCAUGAUACAGCGGGGAGGCAUCUCCCUGCUGUCAAAGAUUUAUCGCCGAAGGAUGGGCUCGCGUCUGAUUAGAUAGUUGGUGGGGUAACGGCCCACCAAGUCGACGAUCAGUAGCCGGACUGAGAGGUUGAACGGCCACAUUGGGACUGAGAUACGGCCCAGACUCCUACGGGAGGCAGCAGUGGGGAAUAUUGGGCAAUGGGGGCAACCCUGACCCAGCAACGCCGCGUGAAGGAAGAAGGCUUUCGGGUUGUAAACUUCUUUGACGAGGGACGAUAGUGACGGUACCUCGAAAACAAGCCACGGCUAACUACGUGCCAGCCGCAGC
RNAcentral lists this ribosomal RNA (426 nucleotides) under uncultured bacterium. RNAcentral's name for it is "bacterial SSU rRNA". It matches the Rfam family "Bacterial small subunit ribosomal RNA", at positions 82 to 518 of the family's 1533-position model. The record is from RNAcentral.